This 490-nucleotide ribosomal RNA is filed under the name uncultured bacterium. RNAcentral's name for it is "partial 16S ribosomal RNA". It matches the Rfam family "Bacterial small subunit ribosomal RNA", at positions 30 to 507 of the family's 1533-position model. The record is from RNAcentral.
AUUGAACGCUGGCGGCAGGCCUAACACAUGCAAGUCGAACGGUAACAGGAAGCAGCUUGCUGCUUUGCUGACGAGUGGCGGACGGGUGAGUAAUGUCUGGGAAACUGCCUGAUGGAGGGGGAUAACUACUGGAAACGGUAGCGAAUACCGCAUAAUGUCGCAAGACCAAAGAGGGGGACCUUCGGGCCUCUUGCCAUCGGAUGUGCCCAGAUGGGAUUAGCUAGUAGGUGGGGUAAAGGCUCACCUAGGCGACGAUCCCUAGCUGGUCUGAGAGGAUGACCAGCCACACUGGAACUGAGACACGGUCCAGACUCCUACGGGAGGCAGCAGUGGGGAAUAUUGCACAAUGGGCGCAAGCCUGAUGCAGCCAUGCCGCGUGUAUGAAGAAGGCCUUCGGGUUGUAAAGUACUUUCAGCGGGGAGGAAGGGAGUAAAGUUAAUACCUUUGCUCAUUGACGUUACCCGCAGAAGAAGCACCGGCUAACUCCGUG